ACCACUUUUGCAUCCUUCGGCCUCUGGCGUGCCUGCCAUGACGUCAUAGCUCUGCGGAGGUGGAAGUUGGGGAGCUUUGAGGCCUCCUCUGUAGAAUGGAAACUCUGUACCCCUGCUUGUCUUAGGACCUCAUGGAUCCCAGGGGGACCAAGAGAGGAGCUGAGAAGACAGAGGUAGCUGAGCCUCGGAACAAACUACCUCGUCCAGCACCUUCUCUGCCCACAGACCCUGCCCUCUACUCUGGGCCCUUUCCUUUCUACCGGCGCCCUUCGGAACUGGGCUGCUUCUCCCUGGAUGCUCAACGCCAGUACCAUGGAGAUGCCCGAGCCCUGCGCUACUAUAGCCCACCCCCCACUAACGGUCCAGGCCCCAACUUUGACCUCAGAGACGGAUACCCGGAUCGAUACCAGCCCCGGGACGAGGAGGUCCAGGAAAGGCUGGACCACCUGCUGUGCUGGCUCCUGGAACACCGAGGCCGGUUGGAGGGGGGUCCAGGCUGGCUGGCAGAGGCCAUAGUGACGUGGCGGGGGCACCUGACAAAACUGCUGACGACACCGUAUGAGCGGCAGGAGGGCUGGCAGCUGGCAGCCUCCCGGUUCCAGGGAACACUAUACCUGAGUGAAGUGGAGACACCGAACGCUCGGGCCCAGAGGCUUGCUCGGCCACCGCUCCUCCGGGAGCUUAUGUACAUGGGAUACAAAUUUGAGCAGUACAUGUGUGCAGGUGAGUUGCC
This 733-nucleotide unclassified non-coding RNA is filed under the name Homo sapiens (human). RNAcentral's name for it is "decapping exoribonuclease (multiple genes)". Lineage: Eukaryota; Metazoa; Chordata; Mammalia; Primates; Hominidae. The record is from RNAcentral.